CAGCAGCCGCGGUAAUACGAAGGGUGCAAGCGUUAAUCGGAAUUACUGGGCGUAAAGCGUGCGUAGGCGGUGAGUUAAGUCUGCUGUGAAAUCCCCGGGCUCAACCUGGGAAUGGCAGUGGAUACUGGCUCGCUAGAGUGUGUCAGAGGAUGGUGGAAUUCCCGGUGUAGCGGUGAAAUGCGUAGAGAUCGGGAGGAACAUCAGUGGCGAAGGCGGCCAUCUGGGACAACACUGACGCUGAGGCACGAAAGCGUGGGGAGCAAACAGGAUUAGAUACCCCAGUAGUCCCUGUCUCUUAUAC
This 301-nucleotide ribosomal RNA is filed under the name uncultured bacterium. RNAcentral's name for it is "partial 16S ribosomal RNA". It matches the Rfam family "Bacterial small subunit ribosomal RNA", at positions 509 to 807 of the family's 1533-position model. The record is from RNAcentral.